UUCUGGAAUUUGAAGCACUGUGAAUUAAUGCAUGUUAUUGACCUUAGCACUAUUUGAAUUUUUUUUUCCUCUUUUAAGUGAAAUUAUACUGUCAUUGUCCUUAUCAUUAACAUAAUCAAUUGGAUUAAGUAGUCAUACUUGACAGGAAAUACUUCAGAAUCAAAGUUUUAUGCUACAAUUAAAUCGCCAGUAUUCCCAAACUAUCCAUAUACCCGUGGGGAACUUUAUUAUUGCCAGCUUUAAUUUCUUCCUGCUACAUUUAGUUGUGCAAUUCAUUAUUAUCUGGCAUUUCAGUAUAUAUAAACCUAUCUCAUUUGUUAAAGUACACAAAGAACAAGGAACUUCCCACUAGUCCUAAAUUUGAAGAAAUGUGCAGCCCUGUUGCACACUGUGUGUGGCAUAUUAACUAAUUUUUUGAAUUUCUAUGGAAUUUGUCUCUGUUGUAUUAAAUUAUCCUUUUAUAUCUGGUUGUUUAGGUGUGCUUAUUUCAUUUCUGGCUCUUUAAUUCUAAGUCACCAAAUGAUCUCAGGAUGAAAAUAGGCUUUAUAUCUUCCUUGAGCUUGUAACGAAGGGUUCACUUGCAAAUCUUUAUCAAAAGUACCACUUGAGUGAUUCUCAAGUCUCUUCAUACACAAGGCAGAUCCUGAAUGGCUUAGCAUAUCUUCAUGAGCGGAAUGUGGUUCACAGGUGAUAUAAUUGAUUUGGCUGCUAUAUUCUCAGUUCUUUUUCCUUAUCAUGUUGUGUCCUCUCAAUAUUCCACAUUUUAUGUCAAGAUGUCUCAGUGCAAAUAGAUGUAGCAUUCAUGAUUGUUUAUGCAGAUAGGAAAUCAGUUCUUUCUCUUGCUGUUUGUUUGCAAUAUGUGAUUAUUUAUACCAUUCGUUUUCUUUCCAAAAAUGCAGCUUUUUGGAGCUCAAUCUUUAAAACUAGUCUGGAAACAUGCAUAUUGUUAAGCAUUUCUAUUGUUGAUACUUUGUAAAUAAUUUCCUGAUGGUAUUAGAAAUAAGAUGUUGCAGAGUAAAGGUUGAGAAAAUUGGUAGAAACAAAGAGAAAAAGGUAUAAGCAUACAGAAAUAACAAAAGAGCAUUUAAAGUAGUAGGAUGUUUUGUAAACAGCUAACCAUGUUGAAUAUGCAUUUUGAAGAAAUAAUUGCAAUCAUAACCAUUUGCAGAUAGUUUUAAUCCCUCACAAGGAAAAUUACAUUCUCAGUUGCUGCAAAUCAUGGAUAUUGGUUUCAUUCAAGGUUAAACAGAAGAUAGCACUAACGGAGGUUGUUAUUUGUAAUUGAGGGAAAGUUUGCUUAACUGUUAUCAUCUUGCAAGUGUUAAUCAUAACUUAGCUGCUGCAGAGUUUCAACAGAAUAAUAAUCUAGUAUCUUCUUAGUGCGUGUACUGGGGAUGAAUUUAUAGACAAGGUGAAUCUCAGUUGAUGAGAGUAAGAAAUUCUUCUCUCAGCAAAAUGUUAUAAAAAUGCUCAUUCAGAUAGCUCACUGAUUGUUUACAGACUUACGAAAAUUGUUAAAAAGCGCGUGGAGAUGAAUAAAUAGCUUGUGUGAAUUAUUUUUUAAAGAGAAAAAAUGAAAUCGAUUUCCAGGCCAGUUAUGUAGCCGGUCUAUUUUUUGGGCUAAUAUAAUUGUGGCAGGUGAACUUAGCAAUCACACUUGAAAGUUGCUUUUGUUAUACUAUUUUAAGUAUGUCUCUUUUAAAAUUUGUCUCUUUUCAUUUUCAAGGGAUAUCAAAUGUGCAAAUAUAUUGGUAGAUGCUAGUGGAUCAGUAAAACUUGCGGAUUUUGGGUUGGCAAAGGUAGUUAAUCUCUCCCCUUCUUUGUGAAACUCAUGAAUGCUACUGAAUUUAAUGCAAUAUAUUUGAUCUUUUCAGGCAACUACAAUGAAUGAUCUCAAAUCCUGUAAAGGAACACCAUUCUGGAUGGCCCCUGAGGUUUUCCUCUUCUGUUGUAGUCUGAUUUAUAUAGACAAAAUCUGAUCUAUUUUCUGAAUGUCCAUCAUUCACAAUCGAAUUUGCAUGGUCUAAUGGUUUAACUGAUCUACUUGUUUAUAACCAUUGAUAUCUUGGUCAUUGUCAAAUUUGAGAGCUCUGGGACACAUAAAAUCUAAUUUUUCUUACCUUUUAGCUUGACAUGUUUGCCGCAGUUUUUAGGAGGUUAAUUUUUGAAUUUGACGCUACUGUGUUUUUAUAGCUUGCUUUUGUAUAGUUUUAAAGAUUGCAAAUCAGAUCCUCUACCUUCUUUCAUUUGAGUUUUGAAACAUUAUCUGCUCCCGUUCAUUUGAAGUUGAUGAGAAAAAGCCUCUCUUUAAUGUAGAUGGAGUUAAUACUAGUCCUAUAGUUGGUAUUGGUACACACAUUCAUAAAAAAUUAUCGCCCAGACAUAGGACCAAAAACCUGGAAACUGGCUCAUGGUAAAGAGUAAACAUCUUUUCAUAUAUCAUAUUGACACAUACCGAAUAUGUUUCUAUUAGACAUUUCAGGUUAACAAGAUUAGUUUUGCUUUUUAGGUUGUGAAUUCAAAGAACGACGGCUAUGGACUAACUGCUGAUAUAUGGAGCCUUGGGUGUACUGUGUUGGAGAUGUUAACCCGUCGGCCUCCAUACUCUCACUUGGAAGGCGUACGUAAAAAAAUUUCAUAUAUUAAAAUUGAUUUGCUUUCCCUACUUUUCCAUGUUUAUUUUAUAUGCCUGUUUUUUCUACUUUUCCAUGUUUUAUUUUAUAUGCCUGUUUUUUCUUGUUAAACAUCUUGUGAUUUGUAAAAGGUUGCAUCAGUUUUGAUAUGGUGCUUAGUUGUUGCAUAAUUUUGUGUGUUGGCAGGUGCAAGCAUUAUUCAGGAUAGGCAAGGGUGAGCUUCCUUCAGUUCCCAGCUCAUUAUCGAGAGAUGCCCGGGAUUUUAUUCUUAAAUGCUUACAAGUUAACCCAAAUGAUCGGCCUACUGUAACUGAACUAAUGGUGCAUCCAUUUGUAAAGAGGCCACUGCAAACUUCUAGGUGACUUCUCCUCAUUAUAACAUCAUGCAGUCUUGAAAGUUUGUGAUCAUGCUUUGGGGUUUACGUAUAUCCUAGAGGUAGUCUAGCGGCAUCAUCAAAUUUAAACUGCAACCUGUAGUUGUAGCUUUGACUUCUUGUUUGGACUUAAUAUCAUGGACACUGAAAAUAAUUGUUAAAUACAUUUAUAAACUAUCCAUUUGGGCUUGCAACUUCACUUUUCAAGCUUAUAGGGAACUAAGAAAUGGAGGAGCAAGAUUGUGAUGCAUCCAACUGCCUUGGUGAUCCAAAUUCACCGUAUGAAGGGAAUAAACAAGUUCCUCUAGAUGUUUUAAUGCAACCCCUUCCUGUUGAUAACUGGACAAACCUUGAGAGAUUAUUGCUUUUUAUACUGAUUUGCUUUGAGGUUAACCUACAAGUGGACAUUGUUAUUGUGUCGUUUGGUUCUAUAUAUUUUAGACUUGUGCUACUUUUUUUUAUUUUGCAUGCGUCCUUUGUUUGCAGGUGUGGCCAAGCCAAUUGCUAGUGCUUUUAAGAGAUUUGAGCUGAGGCACAUGUGGUGUUAAUACAAUGCUAAGCAUCUUUUGCCGUUGAAUCUACAUACCAGGCAAUUCUUGGCACGGAGAACAGAGAUGGUGCAUUCUAGGUGAAUAUGCACCAAGCACAACUGCUCAUGGUGUAAAACCGGAGAAACUGAUAUGGUGCACACAUCAGUGGCAUUUAAAUUGCCAGGUUUCCUUCCCUUCGUUCGGGCAAGGUUUUUUCUGUUACGGUUUUCUUUCCUUGGGCAGAGUGUUUUGACAUCAAUUUGGUGUAAUAACUCUUUUUCGAAAGUAAAAGUCAGUGCGUGUGAAAUUUUUAUGUUGCAUUUUAUGGUAAGAUCUCUCAAUAUAUGCUUAUGCAUAGGCUGAGAUGAUGUGUAAAUAUGUAGUUAGAUGCCGAUAUUUUGUGGUCUUGAUAAUCUGGAAUCUUAAAAUGUUGUUGUAAGAAAGCAAAUUGUUAUCAAUUUUUUGAAUAUUUUUCAUACACUACUUCCAGAUGUGGCACAGAGAAAACUGAAAUCUGCUACCUUGGAAAUUUCUUCCGGACGAAGGAUUGUGAAUUUCAGUUUUAGCAGAAAAGAAAUCCCUCUGCCUCUGCUAAGCCACUCAACUGAAGCUUCAAUAAGAGUUUACUCCUUGCAGAUACAAAUUCCAAGUGAUGUUUCACAAAUCAAACCUUUUCCCAGUAAAGCAUCUAUGAGGCUGUUGUAGUAGCUUAUUCCUUCUGGAUUAGGUUCCCCUGUUCCAUCUGUUAAAAGAUAAAUUCAAAAGCAACUAGUAAUUAGUCACAUCUGACAAAGAACUAUGGAAAGGAAAACUCAUGGCCUGUAUUUGUUUUCUUAACUUACUGGGAAAGAUUCUUGGCCAAGAUAUUGAGGAUUUGUAAGCAUCCAUUCCCAAAUACUUCAUCAAAUCUAUUUCACUCUGUAAAGAUUGUGUUUUCACCUUUCAAUUGUUAGCAAGAGACGGAUCAUACUUUUGGAUGACUUGUCAUAUUUUUUUCUUUUUUGACUUUUUCCAUAUUGUCUUCUUCGAAAACCUUUUCAUUUUCUUUUUUAUUUAUUUUUAAUUCUUUUUUUCUUUUAUUUACGGAAACGAGUAAUUCUAUUUUUGCGCAUAAAAUUAUUCGUGGCUGUAUGUUACGUGCAACACAACAAACUUUUUUUUUUCUCCCUAUUAUUUAAUGCUAAUCAAUUACAUUGGCAAAAAUACUCACUUAAAUUGAAUCUUUUUUACACAUACUGAAACACUAGUAGAAGUUUCCAUUAGUAGUAUCACUAAAAUAUAAUUGAACCUUUAGACAUACAGAUUAGUUAAAAAAAAUAAAAUAAAAUAAGAGUAGAUUACUUCACAAUUCUUAAGAUAUUGUAAUACCACAAAGAUAACAAAUUAAAAUAACAAGAGUUCAAUCUCUAAUUUUCUACCAUUUCCAUUCAUGUUAUGAAUUAUUGUUUCAUAUCAUAUUUUUAUUUACUCCUGUGAUUAAAGCAAACUGUAACGAGCAUAUCAAAAUCAUUCGAAUGAAAAAUUAAAAAUAGAAACUCAAGAAAAAAAAUGGAAAAAGAAUGAAACAUUGGAGAGGUUGCAACAAGUGACUGAUCAGGGUCAACAUUCAUAUUAGGAAGCAAACAAAAUGUUCAUGCAUAACAAUUUAAGAAAUAUUAAAGAGCCAAAAAACAAGGUCAUCACAGCUAAUCCAAAUAAUCAAAACCAUAUCUCAAUCCAUAAACAAUGACACGAGAUUACAUAAAAUUUGAGGAAAAAAGAAAAGUGCCACCAAAUUAAGCACUGGAGAGUGGAGAUUGAAAUUGAAAUUGAAAAGCGGAGACGCCAAAUUAAUUUGGCAUCACUUCCAAUUUAUCCAUCACCAUGUAAGUCACCACCCAUUAGUGGUAACUUUUAUCACAAACAUAACACUAAAGACAACACUAUUUUUUUUAUUUACAUAUUAGAUUUUAUAAACAUAGCAUAACAAUACAGAGCAUACUAUAAAUAUAUAGUAUCCAAAGCCGUUCAAAUUAAAUGUUAAAAUGACAGAGUCUGAAAAAAAGAGAAAACGUACAAUUCUAAAAUCUUAAGCUCUAGCGUUACCAAGGAGAACACUUGCCAAAAGAUUCUUGCAUUGCAUCGAUGCCUUCAGCAGCUUUAAACCACAACCAGUAACCACCAUUCAAAGAUUAGGGAAAAAAAAAGAUCCAGAUUAUUAAACAUAUGAUCCCAAGAAUUAAAUCACUAAGAAAACAACUUAAAAAUAUUACCUCAUCAAGGCCAAAAUUGAAAACUUUCUCCUAAAGGUUACCCAGAUCCAUAUCAAACUUUUCAUACAAAGUGACACUAGAGGUCACAUAUUUUUUUUUUUUUUAAAAAAAUGUCCACAGAUUGUGGAUAUUGAAAUAGAUGUUGAAGAGUGGAGACAUGAAAAAUUAGUGUAGAGUGGAGAUUAUAGAACGUUAAGCACUGAUUAAAGAAAAAAAUAAUGGCAGCGAGAGUUGAGAGUAGAGAAAGAGAGAGAGGAAAAUGAAGAAUUUUGGUUAGAGCGGCUAGGGUUUCUCAUGAAGUAAAAUAUGAAGUAUAUAUACUUUUAAUAAAAAAUUAAAAAUUUUCAAUUUUAUAGGUUAAAAACAAAGUAUUGUUAAAUAUUCCAUUUAGCGGGAGUUUUGCCUGCCUAAAUGAAAAAUUGUUCAUUUCAUUUUAAUUUACUUAUGUUAGUAAAUUAAUUUGAUAUAAUUAUACUUAUUUUAUAAUUUGUAUUCUAAAUGCUACUUAUUUUUUUAUUGUUAUAUUUCAGUGACACUUGAUUUAUUACUAAGAAAAUUGUAAUUGUGUCAUGCUUAAAAUAUAUAAUGGUAAAUAUAAUAAACACAACAUUAUUUAGUUGUAUUCAAAUUAUAGUUUUUCUUGUGGGUGCCACCUGAUUAAGGGUUGGAACUAUGCUCACAUAGAUGAGGAGGAAAUUGAUUGUUACUAUACUGAGGAAUAAGAAAUAAUUAUUAUCUAUGUUACAUUGUAAUUACAUUAUGAAUUUAGGUCGUUACAAUCAUGGGGUAUAAUUAUCUAAAAACAUGUAUAUAUAAUCAUUUAUAAAAAUUUGGCGUAUGUCCCAAGUUAAAUCAUGUGGAAGGUUCUUUUUUUUUUUUUUUUUUGGAAAGAAAGUACACCUUUAAUUGAAUUAAGAGAAAAGCACUUUUUUAAAGCCAACUUUGCCAAAUCAUGCGCUAAAAAAUUACACAUCCUAGGGACGUGCUGAGCUUUAAAAUUCUAAAAGAUUUUCUUGGCUUCUAAAAUGUCAAAAAUCACUCAAAAGGUCUCUGUCAAAGUGCUUCUCUUGUUAUUGAUUAGCUCUAUCACCCCUUUAGAAUCAGACUCUAAGAUAACUGAGGUUGCCCCUGCCUUGGCAGCUGCCUGCAUUCCCCACAAAAUAGCUUUUGCCUCACUCAACUCCACAUCUCCUGAGCUCUUAAAUGUGCUGACAGCUGCAACAACUGUUUCUCCCUUAUGGUUUUUAACUAUUGCUCCCAGCCCAACAAGAUAAUUCACCUUAUCCAUAGCAGCAUCAACAUUUACCUUAAGCCAUCCUUCUUUGGGUGGACUCCAUUGGCUUUGCUGAACAUUGUUUUGAUCUGUUAAGAAAUUCUCUUCUAGUUACUUUAUUCUUUUGACAGAUUCAGCAACUGUAACAGCUUUAGCCAUCAAUAUUACCGGGUCAUCAUAUUUUCCUUUGAAAAUGAGAUUAUUUCUAGCACUCCAAAUAAUCCACAAUAAAGAAGCUACCAGUUCACCACUCAUAUUCUUUUGCUGAAAAUGUGCAGAAUGCAAAGGGUAAUGACAUCUGGAAAAUUAGCCCCUUGAAGGACACUUCCCAGAGGUGAGUUUUUCCAAACCUUUCUAGCGAUUUUGCAGUCCACAAGAGCAUGAACUGUAUUCUCCCACCCACUCCUACACACUGGGCAGAUGGCCUCCUGCAUCACUCUUUUCUUCCAUAGGUUUUCUGCUGCAGGCAAGAUAUUCUUGGCUACUCUCCAAAGAAAAAUCUUUACUUUUUCAGGAAUCUUCAGCUUCCAUAUGACGUUCCACUGGCUUGGGUUCGGGUUGGAGCAGCUAGGAAUGCCUUUUGGCUUUUGUCCUAACGCCACUUGAUAGCCACUCUUCACCAGGUAUUGACCUCUCUUAUCAUAGUGCCAAAACAGAAUAUCCUCACUCUGCCUUCUCAGUAAAGGGAUUUGCACAGUGAGAUCUGCACCAUCUUUGCCAAAACAUUGAUAUAUGAUAUGUUCAUUUCAACACCUAUUUCCAUCAAUCAACUCAGGAACACAAGUUCCACUGGGCAGAUUUGGAGGGGUUGUGGGCUUAAAGGUUGUCGGCCUAGGGAUCCAGCUACUGUUAAAAAUAUUUAUAUGCUUUCCAUCCCCAAUUCUCCAUCUACACCCUUUUUUCAGCACCUCUCUUCCCCAUAAUAUACUUCUCCAAAUGUAGGAGGGUUUAGAGCUCAAACUAGCUUCAACGAAGGAUGAGUGCUUAAAGUACUUUGCUUUCAAAACUCGAGCCACUAGUGAAUCCGAGGCUUGAAUGAGUCUCCACCCUUGCUUUGCAACUAGAGCUUGAUUAAAACAUGAGAGGUCCUUAAAGCCCAAACCUCCUCUAAUUUUAGCUUGAUUCAAGUUUUCCCAUCUUGACCAAUGAAUACUUCUCUUCUCUUUAGUCGAACCCCACCAAAAUUUUGCUAUCGCUCCUAACAUAUCAUUACACAAACCCAAAGGUUCUUGUGGAAGGUGGAAGGUUCUUGCUCCUUGCUCCUUGCUCCUUGCAUAUUCAUCUUGACCAAUGAAUACUGCUCUUUGCUCCUUGCAUAUCAUUAGCUAUCGCUCCUUGAGGGGUCGUGGAAGGUUCUUGUUAACAAUUAUAUUUGGGCUCUCACAUGCCCCACCUUUAAAACACUGUAUUAUCUAUUGCAUGCACGCGCAUCCACAACAUAAAGCAAACUCAUUCUAUAAUGACAGUAAUAAAAUUUAAAAAUUAAGAUCUUGAAGUGAUUGUGGAGAAAAAUUUACAUAGAUCAAUCCUAGAGAGUAGGUUAAUCAUUGAUGUUCUCUUAUUUAACAGAGCAGUGGGUUCUAUAAAUUUUUAAUAUUAAAUUUUGAUAGUUGUAAGUUGGAACCAACUUGUUGAGAUCUCAAUAGUACUCACUUGUGAUCCCAUAAUCGGACCUACUGAAGUGGUAGGACUAACUUAUCGAAGUCUUUUUGGAAUUGCCAUGUUCAUGUGGCAAAAGAUGCCACGAAUCAACUGGCAAACACCACCAAGUCAGCGGGUGAUCCAAAAUCACCUGGUAUUGGAGAUGUUAACCCAUUGUCCUCUAUACUCUGGCUUGGAAUAGGUACGAAACACAUUAUCGUAUAUUCAAAUUGAUUUAAUUUCCCCAAUUUUGCAUGUUUUAUAUGCAAGUUUGUUCAUAUUAAACAUCUUGUGAUUUAUGAAAGUUGGCAUCAGUUUUGAUAUGGCAUUUAGAUUUUGCUUAAUUUUGUGUGUUGGCAGGUGCAGACAUUAUUCAAGAUAGCCAGGGGUGAACUUCCUCCAAUUCGUGACUCAGUAUCGAGGGAUGCCCGAGAUUUUAUUCUUAAAUACUUACAAGUCAACCCUAAUGAUCGGCCUAUUGCAGCUCAACUAAUGGAGCAUCCAUUUGUAAAGAGGCAGUUGCCAACUUCUUGGGGACUGCCUCUCCUCAUCAUUUCAUCAUGCAGUCUUGAAAGCUUAUGAUUAUCCUCUGGGUUUCAUGUAUAGGUAAUCUAUCAUGACCCAAUUUAGGGCUUGUUUGGUAUUGUUGUAGGGUGGUUGUAGGUUCUAAGUCAAAUUGAAUUUCUCCCAUGGUUGUUGUUUGGUAACGGAAAAAGGAGAAAAAAAUAGAGAGUGGAGGCAUUACUUUUAUCUCAUCCUUAACUUCCGUAAGUGAAGGAGAACAAAGGGGGAAAAGAGGGGAGUGGGGUGUUACCUUAAAAGGAUGAUUUAUUCAUUUUUUGGGGGGGCUCCAGGGCAUUUUUUCCUCUCUUCCUCUCAUGGAAAAUCCUUUUUUUUACACUAUUUCAUUUUUCUGCAAAUUACUUAAAAAUCUUUUGGUUUUUAAGGCAAUGUUUAUUAAGCCAUAUGAGUGGUGGCACAAGUUUUUUGGCAAAGGCCCAGAAACUGACUUGAACAUCGGAGGGUUCACGCCGGAAAAACUUUUGGCGCCUCUGACCGUCUUCUAUGAUUUCAGGUAUUCGCAGCUUAAUCGCUAGUGGUUGCAGGACAUCUUGACGAUUGACCAAUCGAUUCUCUACCAAAUAAAUCUAAUGCUGAUGCGGGAGUCUGGUAUCAAGUCGCUAACCGACUCAAUCGGAUUUCGGCAUCAAUAGUUGUUUGAUGAAAAACUUAUAAUACAUACACUAAUUUUGUGAAAAAUAUAAUUUAUGAAUCAUAUUAUUUAAACACAAUCAACUUCUAUAUCAUAAAUGCAUAUACAACACCAAAUAGACCCUUGAAUUAUUAAUUGCAUUUUGUACUUCGCUCCUUUUUGCAUUUAGCAGCAUCGACAUAAUGAAAAUAAUUGUUAAAUACAUUUAUAAAAUAUCCAUUUGGGUUUACAACUCCCACUCUCCAACUUAUGGGGAGCGAGAAAUGGUGGAGCAAGAUUGUGAUGUGUCAAACGAACCCCAAUUCACAGAGUGAAGGAGUAUGCAAGUGCCUCUAGAUGUUAUAAUGCAACUCCUUCCUGUCGAUGGCCAGUCAAACCUUGAGGGAUUCACAAUGGAUCCGGCUACGUUGCUUCUUAUACUAAUUUGCUUUGAGGUUAACCUGGCUACGUGUCCACAUGGUUAUUGUGUCAUUUGGUUCUAUUUCCUUUAGGAAUAAAUUCAAUGCUAGCGUUACUGUUGUUUAUUUUGCAUGUGCCUUUUGAUUGCAGGUAUGGGUAGGCCAGUUUCUAGUACUGUGGGUUAUGUUUGGAUGAAAAAAAAUAAGAAGAGAGGAGGGGAAUAAAAACGGAGAGAAUUGAGAAAAAAUAAAAGAAAAAGAAUGUCAGUUUCAAUUUCAUUAUUCUAAUUGAAUAAAUUGGCCUAAAUUGUAAUCUAAAAUUCAUGUAUUAAUAGUUCCCAUUUUCACAUGGAUUUAGAUAAAAUUAAACAACUUGUUAUACUCCAAAUUUGCUAUUAAUAUCUACAGAAGGUCCUUACCACCAAGCUGAUUUUGCCUCCUGCUAUUACACAAAAAUUCUUGCAUCAACAAACAAGAAUCUAUAGGCUACACAUAUUAUACAUAGAAAAUGUUAAAAUUCUUUGAGGAAAAUGAAACGCUGCAAAUACUUCAGGUAAAACACUGUAUUAUCUAUUGCAUGCACGCGCACCCACAACACAAAGCGAACUCAUUCUAUAAUGAUAGUAAUAAAAUUUAAAAAUUAAGGUCUUGAAGUGAUUGUGGAGAAAAAUUUACAUAGAUCAAUCCUAGAGAGUAGGUUAAUCAUUGAUGUUCUCUUAUUUAACAGAGCAGUGGGUUCUAUAAAUUUUUAAUAUAAAUUUUUAAUAUUAAAUCUUGAUAGUUGUAAGUUGGAACCAACUUGUUGAGAUCGCUGAAUAGUACUCACUUGUGAUCCCAUAAUCGGACCUACUGAAGUGGUAGGACUAACUUAUCGAAAUCUUUUUGGAAUUGCCAUGCUCAUGUGGCAAAAGAUGCCACGAAUCAACUGGCAAACACCACCAAGUCAGCGGGUGAUCUGGUGGGAUUGGCACUACAGUAAUUAUAUUUAUCUCUGCCAACGUGUCGCCGCCAGAAGGGAAAGAAUAGGAGGAAUACCGACAAAUAUUCUAUCAUUUAUGUACAAACAAACACUUUAUUUAUUCGAAACUCCUGUUUCGACUGUUUCGUGUGACAGAGAAGCUGGAGAAGGAUAAUAAACCUCUCGCGCUCGGUCACUCUCAACUGAACAUGUCUCUAUGUACGGACCCUUCAUCGCGCCGCGUCAAUAACAUGCCGAUUGCCAUGAACCGCCGUGGAAGGUUCCGUAUGGUCGCCAAUCUCGCCAACCAGGCCGAGGCCAGGGUUAACACUUUCGAAAUACGGGUCCUAUUUUACUCGCUACUCUCAUUCCUUUAUUAUUUUUCGUUGUUGAGACAGUAUUGUUUUGAACAGAGGGUUAGUUCAACUCUCAUAUUUUCUUUAAGUAUACAAUGAGGCUUACAAAGAUCAGAUAAUUUUUGUUUUUUUUAAUCCCGGAUGCUGUGACUUUUAUCUUAUAUGAUCAUUUGAUGAUUAGUUGUUAAGCCUUGUUACUUCUCACCCGAAUGUAGAGAGUUUCAGUACCUUGAAAAUUUAAAUGCUGUGUGAACUGGAUCUGGAUUGAUAAAUGGUACAUUUGGACAUCGAAUUUAUUAUUCCCAACUCAAGGCUCUCAGUUGUGUUACAGGAUAAAAAAAAUUAUUUCACUUAGUGUUCCAAAAGCUGCGUCGCAGUUUAUUGAUGAUGUGCCAUCAAGUGAAUGCGCUGCACCCCACGGUCCACAUUAUUUUCAAAAAGCUGCACUUGAUUUUACUAGAUCACUUGACGAUGCGCCGUUGAGUGAAUACCACGCCAAAGCUAGAAGAUUUCAAGAAUUUGUUGAUGAUAUAGGAUCCACCAUCAAAGGCCAUAAUUUAAAGAUACCGAAACGUACAAAUGCAGUGUUUUCCCUCAGGGUAGGGAUUUUAUUAACUUAUCCUGUAUUGAAGGCAACAUCCUUUGGGGUAUAUCUUCUCAGUCAUCUUGUGUUCAAAGCAUUUUCAUCCGUGCGGAAUAUAUUUAGUAAUUUUUUGUUGGGGGUCGCAUUUGUACGACAUAAAUUUCAAUAUUAUAUGUCAUUUUGUAAAUACAUUGUGACCCUUGCUGCCAAAGUUAGAAGAAUGCAAGAAUGUCUUAAUGAUGCAGAAUACGUUUCACAUGAUGAUGAUGAUUCUAAAGAUCAUCCAAUUAGCAUAAUUAUGGAACCGGUUUAUAAUGUCUCUCCGAAUGGGAAAUUUAGAAGAAAAAUAACGUCAUGGCAAAAGGGUGACCCUUUGGGAAGUGGGUCAUUUGGGUCUGUGUAUGAAGGCCUCACUGAGUAAGUGAAAUCUGUUCCUGUGUUAAUGUUCUUGGAACUUGUGAAAAGGAGUUUUAUUGUUCUGAUUGUAUUUCAAUAUCCAUUUGGUUACAUAGCCUUAUUGAUAUGUACCUGCUGAAGGUUUUUAAUAAGUUAAGAAGGAUGUACAAUGUUGGUUUAGAAGGAAGUUUCUAUGAACUUAUUGAAUACCUUGUCUGCUUUCUGAAUGAUAAUACAAGAAAAGUGAUAGACUUCAUGAUGAGACCUCAAUGGGAUUUUGGGUAUGCUACUUGUAAAUCUACUCAUCUUAUUUCUCAAGAUAGUCAUGCAAGAUGAAUUCAACUUCGUUUUUGAGGCAGAUAAAUUUGAUGAUGAGCUAGACUGGAUAUUCUUUUGCACAUUCCUACUUGAAACAAUUAACUUUUGCAACUAUUUUACCAUUUUCUUCUAAAUAUUUCUAAGGUUUUGAGGUGUAUUUUAUUUGUUUUGCAAUGAAAGCGGUUAGGAUUAUAUUUAUGUGGUCAGGCUUAAAAUGAUUAACUUGGCCUUGUUUACUAUCUUUGAUAUGCAUGUUUAUUUGCAAGCAGCCACGAGCAUGUACUUAUUUUUUCAGCAACUUCUCUCAUGCUUUCUGGUUUGUUUGCAGUGAUUCUUUUUUGCUGUGAAGGAGGUUUCUUUGCGGGAUGAAGGACCUCGGGGAAAGCAGAGCAUUCUUCAACUUGACCAGGUGGGAUGAUUAGUCUUGUCCUGCUGGAAGUCCAUUACAUAUUAUUCUGCAGUCUUUUUCUCUGCUUUAAACUACAAAUCAUGCAGUUGCAUAUUUUUAUUCUGCCUCUAAAUAGCUAUGUGACAAGAUCAUUUCUCUAAUAAUAUGUUUAUUGGCUCAGGAAAUUUCUCUUUGAGUCAGUUUGAACAUGACAACAUAGUUCAAUAUCUUGGCACAGACAAGGUAUGCGUCUAACCUCAGUGCUUGCAUUUUCGCCUUUCAUUUUCUCAUAGUAAUAUUUGUGAAGUGAGAUUCAGAACUGUGUGCUUGUAAUGACAUUUAUAGACCCCUAACACCUAUGAUUUUGCUGGAAUUUGAAGCAUUGUGUAUUAAUGCAUGUUAUUGACUUUAGCACUAUUUGAGUUUUUUUUUUCUCCUCUUUUAAGUGAAAUUAUACUGUCGUUGUCCUUAUCAUUAACAUAAUCGAUUGGAUUAAGUAGGCAUACUUGACAGGAAAUACUUCAGAAUCAAAGUUUUAUGCUACAAUUAAAUCGCCAGUAUUCCCAACUAUCCAUAUACCUACGAGGAACUCUAUUAUUGCCAUCUUUAAUUUCUUCCUGCUACAUUUAGUUGUGCAAUUCAUUAUUAUCUGGCAUUCCAGUAUACAUAAACCUAUCUUAUUUGUUAAAGUACAGAAAGAACAAGGAACUUCCCACUAGUCCUAAAUUUGAAGAAAAAUGCAGCCCUGUUGCACACUUUGUGUGGCAUAUUAACUAAUUUUUUGAAUUUCUAUGAAAUUUGUCUCUGUUAUAUUGAAUUGUCCUUUU
Molecule: long non-coding RNA, 14140 nt
Filed under: Citrus maxima (pomelo)
Lineage: Eukaryota; Viridiplantae; Streptophyta; Magnoliopsida; Sapindales; Rutaceae
Description: long non-coding RNA (CMAX_LNC001718)
Source: RNAcentral